Ictidomys tridecemlineatus (thirteen-lined ground squirrel) is the source of this 6342-nucleotide non-coding RNA. NCBI's taxonomy places the organism in Eukaryota, Metazoa, Chordata, Mammalia, Rodentia, Sciuridae. The record is from RefSeq and is a predicted model, not a curated record.
CAAUGCUAACGGUGACCGUUUCGCAGUUUUUGUGUAACUUGCCCCAGAGCCAAAUCUGUUUCCCUCUCCUGAUCCCAAACAUCUGCUUGUGAUAAGUCCUGCCACACAUGUGUUUCAUACGGCAUGCAGGGGGUGUGGUGAGGACGCGGGCACUGGCCCAAGAAGGGCUGAGCUCAUCAGAGCAUGUGGUCACGGAGGUGGGAGGACAGGGGGUUCUCAUGUUGUGUUGGUGCAGCCCGAGAGGCCAGGGAGAUGGUACCUGUCACCCAGGGGCCGAGCCCCAGGAGCGGGAGUCUCGUGAAUCUCAACCCCACGUUGCCCAGUAGGUGUGCCAGAAUAACUGUGGCCAACAGCUUAUGAAAUGACUUUAUAGAAGCUUAUUUUUGUUUCACAGGGAACAAAAAUGGGCUUUUUAUAUGUGUGGGUAAAUAUGGCACAUAGCAAAAUCUGUGCUUGGGUUUGAGGAUGGCAUCCCUGAAGGCUUCUAAGAGAUGGUCACAACUCUUUCUUAAAAUUCAUUUCACGAUUUCAGAAACUAGCCAUGGCCCACACUGCACUGGGGGCCACGCUGCACAUUUGACCUGCUAUUUGGCGUCACAGCCUGGAUUUGCCCCUUGCGCCCGACAGCAGCCUCACAAGUGGAGAGCACGGUGCUUUGCGAACCACUGGCUAAUCCCCCUCACUCUGUCCCUUCUGGGUUUGAAAUGCCUUUGUGUGUAUUACCUACCUAGCUCUAGGCCUGCACCUCCCUGAAACUACCAAGAAACCCAGACUCUGGAGGGGAGUGGUUGAACUCAGGGGAACAGAGUCCAAGAGCAGACGGCUUAGCCCCCCACCCCCCCCCUCUCUCUCCCACACACACACACACACACACACACACACUACCCCCAGUAGGGGGCCAGAGGCGGAGGUGCAGCCAGUGUGGAGUGUAGAGUGAGCUCACUUCUGCAAGAGCCAGGCUCCAAGGGACAGGAUAACUGCGGAUUGCUUGCUGCAGCCAGCACGGGCGUGGAGACAGGAAGCUGAGCGAAGGGACAGGUCAGGAGAAGAUGCGAACCUGGCCAUCACGCAGUCCAGUCCUAGUUCCAGGCACUCGCCGGGGGAGCCAGGGAGACGGUUCUGUGCAGGCCAAGCCCUGGAGGCCCAUGUGGCGGCUUUCAGAGGAGCCGAGAACAGAGGGCUGCAGGCACCAGGAGCACAACACAGAAGGAGAAGCCGCCACCUAUCCAGAGAAAACCAGGCAUUCAGGGGACAGCAACUCGGGAAAACUUGGCUGAACCUUCUGUCCAUGAAGUCCCCAUUGUCACGGGAGGGCAUAAAAUCCCGACUGAAAUAUGCUUGCUCCUGCAAAGCUCAUGAGCUGGGAUGCACACACCGACUGACCGGGACUCAGAGGUCUUCCUGUGCUGUGACUCCUUGUCCGCACACACCGCGCAGGACAGGGUCCUCCUCUGCUGGCCUGGGUUCUGCCCGAGGGCAGGGACCCUCAACCCCACGUGUCCACUGGGUAUCGACCCUGGUGCCUGCCCCCAGGAGUCCCUCGGGUUUUGAGGAACGUGGCAUGCAGUCCUGCUCUAUCUAGUUACCACAGGUUUAUUUCUCCCUUCGGGGCCUCUAACUUCUGUUUCCUGUUGUUAGGAGAGAGACGUUUUCAGGCUUAGUGGUGAUUGGCAAGCAUUUUUAUGUGGGGCUUGGCAUUUAACAUCUGGCCCAGUUGUGAAAUCAAUUUGCUACAGAUAAGGAAGGACAGAUGGAAGUAUUUUGAGUUCCCUGCACUUGGUUCAGAAAGAGCGCUGGGCUUGGACUGCUGGACAGAUGGGGACCGCUCCACACACUUCCAGAAGGCUCCAUGAACCCUUGCAGAAUUCAGACUGCAGCUCUACCCUGGUUGCACCUCUUCCAUCGUGGUCUGCCUCUGUGAGAGGCUGUGGUGUGCCUUGGAGGUGGGGUGCUCUCAGAGGUGGGGUGCUCAUCUAGCCUGCGUGAGGCGCUGGGCUCCACCUCCAGCGCUAAAGAAAAGAAAGAAGUAGCAGAAAGACAGAAUCCUACCUGUGGGGCUGGGUUGUGGCUCAGUGGCAGGCUGCUCGCUCGCCUAGCACAUGCAAGGCCCUGGGUUUGAUCCUCAGCCUUACAUAAAAAUAAAGACAUACAUAAAGGCAUUGUGUCCAACUACCACUAAAUAAAUAUUUUUUAAAAAGAAUCCUAUGUGUGGUAGAAGAAGGGAAAGAAACAUAAAAUCAACAGAGAUGGGGCCAGGGAAGGGAGCUGGGCUUCUGGGAAGGAAUUGCUGAACUCACUGUGCCCAACGCAGGUUUCAACGGAAGUGGAUUUGUUAUCACACCUCUCCCUUCCCAGGGGUGGACCUGCACAUUCGAAAGCCCGUGUCACGCUGCACUGUGUCACUGAGACUCCCCGUGGGCUCCCACGUGGGGCCAUCCUCACCCGGUGGCCGUUACAGCCCUUGACGUAUGACAGCCUUGCAGCAUCCAGGGCUGGCCGUCACAGCUGAAGGUCAUGCUGGUGGCUGAUCUUGGCAGAGGACAGCUCUUCUUCUGGAAGCCGGAAGAAUCCUUUAUAUUCUUUCCUAUUUUGAAAUUUCACAGCAUACACCCACGUGUUUGUGCAGCACCCUGGCUCCCGGGCCACCGACUUGGUAGUUUGUUCCACGGUGGUGGUCUCCCUCCUGAGACUCCUACUAGUCAGACCUUGGACUUCAUCUUCAGGCACCCACCAUUGAGCUACAGCCCUAGCCCAGACCUUGGAUUCUUCUCUCUCCUUCUCUCCUCGCCAUUCCCCACCCCUCUCUGGAAGACUUUCUUGAUUGUGACUUCCAGUUUUUCUAAUCACUCAGCUAGUGGAGUCUGUUUUUUUCUUAUGAUUAAUUUUUAUUUCAUGCAAAUCUAACUAGUAUCUUCCCUCCCUCCCCAUCCCUCCCUCCUUCUCUCCCUCCUUCUCUCCCUUCCUUCCUUCCUUCCUUCCUUCCAUCAUUCUUUCCUUCUGCAGAUGUGGAUGGAAUCCAGGGCAUUGCAUGUGCUAGACAGAUGUUCACAAAAGAGUCACAACCCAAGCCCCAGAAUUAUCUUACGUAAAAAUGUUUAUUCUAUUUCUCCAAGAAUCUCAUUUUCUUAAUACUUCAUCUUGAAAAUUUUUGAACAUAUAAAACAUUAAUGGAUCAUAAAAUAGGUCCCUAUCUAGAGACCCAUGAAUAUGCAAUUGCUAUAAUUUUAUUAUAUACCUAUUCAAGCCAUGACUUCAAAAUGAUAUUUCUUCCCUGUGCUUUGAGAAAGGUCAGUUUUCUGAGUUUUCACUUUUCCCCAAGAUCCAGGUUGCCCUUAUUAGUCAUGUCUUCCUGAUGGCCAAUCACGUGAGUGGUCAGCCCCAGGACCCACGUCCACCCAGCUUUCACACAGGGGGAUGGACAGUUGGCUGCUCCCGAGGGAAGGGGUGGCUGACAGCUGUGUGUGGACAUGGAGUCCUGGUCCUGGACUGUCCCCUUUCCCCCUGCGUGCUCACUUGCGGACGGCCAGGUCUCCCCAGGCAAGCUUCCACCUCUGCAUGCCUGCCACUGUGGCCAGCAGUGUCCCCCACAGCUCCCAGAUUUGUUAGAGUUCAUCUGCUCUCUUCUGGUCCACCUUGCCCUCAUGCUGCCCACUGGUGGCCACCUCCAUCCUGCUGUCUGCACUUUUCAGCGUGUUUUCUGUCUUGGAAAAUUUGUGUGACAUCUUCUUUUCAACAUGUCCCUUGCCAUAGUCCCUCUGUCCCUGCAUAUUCUGGCAGGCCCAUGUAGGCACACAGAUGCACAUAGGGUUCACUGUUCAUUCCCUUCCCAUGCACACUUCUAGGAUACCGGAACGUUGUGCAGGCAAAGUCGACCAUGCCUGUAUCAUAUAUGUGAGUUUUUAACGUCACUGAGUGGAGUCUCAGGAUCACGGGGAACUACGAUGGCCUUAUAUUUCUAUCAGAAACUCUCCAAUGAGGCCCUGCCUUCUUUCCCCAGUACUAGGGGGAAGCCCCUCUCCUUUUCUACUUCUCUGUUUCAUGGCCACAUUUUCAGGUGGUUUUCUAUCAAGUCUUCAUGGCUAGUUCACCCUCUGAAUCCUUAGGAAAGCCGUUUUGCUUGGUUUUGGUUUUUGUUGCUAGAUAGGAGCCCAGGCCUUGUGUCUGGGUGUGGUCUUUAUCUGAGCUGCACCAGCCCUGCUUUUGUGUUUCCAAUUGUCAGAAUUCAUAGCCCUUUACUCUUGGAAAUGUGUGGUAUUUUUACAUUACCUUCUUGCUUUUAAUGUCGUGAGAAGCAGCUGGAUGCCAAUCUAAUUCUCAUUCCUUUUAAAAUAAGACAUUAUUUCUUUCUUCUAAAUUAUGUGGGGCUUUGACUUUAUUUUGGAAAUUAAGAAACAGUGAGGCUGGUGGCUGUGGGGGAGGUAGCAGGCUCCACUGGCCACAGCAUGAGCCAGCGUCGCGCUGGAUAUGGGAAGAUGUGCUGCUCUCAUGGUCCUGUGUCUUCUAGAAGUGUCUGUGUCUCACCUUCUCAGAAGCAGUGAGACCUGGGGUCAUUGCAGGUCACAGCUGAGCAGAGAGUCAUGAAGAGAGGAGUCGCUGAUCCCACUCACACAGACCUGCCAGCUGCCAUGCUGAUCCGACUCCUUUCCACAGUGGUCUGCUGACCUUGCAGCGAGCAAGACUGGCUGACAACGGCUGGACAGACCAUGGACCACCGAAACCAGCCUUCAGUCUGCUUGGAGGCCAAGCACCAGUGGCUCCCAGGGAAAAUCACAGAAUUCAGCCUGGACCACACGGAGACACCUGUAUUCUCCUCAGAACUCACCCCUCGGGGAGGAAGGCCCAGAGCCGAGGAACCGGGUUUUGCCCAGGACACAGAUGAGGUGAUGAGGAACAAUGUGAAACAAGUCACCGCACCUUACGGCCACCGGCAGAUCACAGCGCUCCCAGCCCCUCGGCCCCUGGUCUCAGUCACACAGGAUGGCCAGGAACCGCAAUCCGCCUUCAAGAGGCGGACAGGGAGAGGGGAGGGAAGCCACCGCAGCCAGGGAUGAGAACUGUGGCAGGACCCCCGGGAAACGAAAGAAAUGCAGACACAUAUCCCAAUUCAUGUGCUAGUUAGGAAGCACCAUGAGGAAAAGAAAAAAGAGACCCGGGAAAGGAGAGGAGGCCUGGAGAACUUUCUAAAGAAAUGGGAACCAAUCAAGUCCUCACAGCAGGCAGCAUUAGGCAAUAAAUACAGCAGAGAUAAGGCCGGGAACAGAGCAGGCAAGUGGGAAAUGAAACAUCACACAGGAGAAAAGCUGUGUUUGCUUUCUAAGAGGUACGAACCUCAACAACCAAAGUGAAUAAGAAUACCCAGGAAACGAGGAAGAGAAACACUUUUUCUUUGGUUCCUAAGAGAAUAAAGUCAAGUCAGAGAAACAGAUGCUUUUACUCAUCUUUGCUCGAUUAGCGCUCAUCAUUGCAACAUUAGACAAGAAAGCAAAAUAAGAAUUGAUUUUGUGGGGCAAAAAAAAUCAGGGGCUGGGGAUAUAACUCAGUUGGUAGAGUGCUUGUCUCACAUGCACGAGGCCCUGGGUUCAAUCCCCAGCACCACAAAAAAAAAACAAGACAAAACAAAACAAAACAUUACUUGUGAAUGCUUAGUUUACCUACAUAGGAAUCUGAAAGAACCUAGUUAAGAAGGGUAGAACUUAAUUAUAUUGCUCAGUGAAUUGGGCAGAUUAUAGGAGAUGGUUAUUAACACAGAAUCAGAACACUGAAGCGUGGAAACAGAAGAAUUUUCCAAAACGGUGAUUUUUAAAGUUCAUCUUAAAGUUGUAACAAAUAAGUUCAUCCUUUUGAGGGACGAUUUAGCAUUUGUCCUACAGAAAUCAGCACGUGUGGAAGCUCUGUGUUCCCGAGUUAGGAUGGGGCUGUGUGUCGCUGUGGCACCCUGACCUCACAGCACAGCUGUGUGAGCUUCCUGUGACUGCCUGCCUGGAGGCUGUGAGCCACCUGUGCCCCGCCCCGUUGAGUGUUGUGAGCCUGGGAAAAGCUCAAAACUCCAAGCACGGGUCCUACUGAGAGUGUUCCACUCUCCCACCACCAUGGAGCCCCCAAAUCACGGGUCAAACCAUCCUCAAGCUGGGGCCAUCUGUGUAAGAUUAGUAAUUGUGUAUGUACACUAGUACAGGGAAAGAUGUGUUCAAAGACAAGAGAAGCAUAUUUUGGAGAUUAACACUACACAUGGUAUAAUAAUGUCCAGAAGCUGUGUUCACACUGUGUGUCUUCAUACGUGUAUCCAUGUGCUAAAUUCCACCAUCCUACGCCAGAAUAGAGAUGUGUUGUUCUUUCAAUCAA